AGUGGGAUAGCUGGGUCAAAUGGUGGUUCCAUUCCAAGUUUUCUAAGGAAUCUCCUCCAUACUGCUUUCCAGAGUGGUUGUACCAAAUUGCAGUCUCAUCAGCAAU
Molecule: microRNA precursor, 106 nt
Filed under: Marmota monax (woodchuck)
Lineage: Eukaryota; Metazoa; Chordata; Mammalia; Rodentia; Sciuridae
Source: RNAcentral